AUGGAGUACCAGGGACAGCAGCAGCACGGCCAGGCGACCAACCGCGUCGACGAGUACGGUAACCCGGUUGCCGGACAUGGCGUAGGCACCGGCAUGGGCGCGCACGGAGGCAGCGGCACCGGCGCUGCCACUGGUGGGCAUUUCCAGCCCACGAGGGAGGAGCACAAGGCCGGCGGGAUCCUGCAGCGCUCCGGCAGCUCGAGCUCCAGCUCGUCUGAGGAUGAUGGCAUGGGCGGGAGGAGGAAGAAGGGCAUCAAGGAUAAGAUCAAGGAGAAGCUCCCUGGUGGCCACGGUGACCAGCAGCACGCCGAUGGCACCUACGGACAGCAGGGUACUGGCAUGGCCGGCACCGGGGCACAUGGCUCCGCGGCCACAGGCGGUACCUACGGGCAGCCAGGACACACCGGAAUGACCGGUACUGGGACGCAUGUCACCGAUGGCGCCGGCGAAAAGAAGGGCAUCAUGGACAAGAUCAAGGAAAAGCUGCCCGGGCAGCACUGA
RNAcentral lists this ribosomal RNA (501 nucleotides) under Triticum aestivum (bread wheat). RNAcentral describes it as "partial small subunit ribosomal RNA". The record is from RNAcentral. Lineage: Eukaryota; Viridiplantae; Streptophyta; Magnoliopsida; Poales; Poaceae.